UUAGCAGAUUGGUCAAUUAUACGCAGCGGAGGUGCGUGAAAAAUGGGAAUUUAGAGGUCCACAAAUUCUACAGCACCACACGAUGAUAAGAUUCGUCGAGCCUUCUCAUGCAACGUACUCUUGGACGUUAACGCAAGCGCUUACGCACUGCAAAAAAACAAAAGCUGGUGGCGAUAGCUGGGGACCUAUAUGAGCCUUGUGUCGGCUGCCAUGCACACUCAUUGAUUAUCAAUCAUCCCUUCUCAAUGGCGGAACUCAAUUCGGCCACUACCUCCACUCCACUCCUACGAAGCCCCCACUUCCCCAGUAGAAGAAGCCUUCCCCAGUUGCCAAUAAAUUGCUCAAAACUCAAAUCAAUUUUGCUCAUGCUGCGCAUGUCUGACUAAUAUAUUGAAUUAAUGUCCAUUAAUGGCCAAGAUUUCCAAGUUGUUCGUGCUAUUUAUUGAUAGAGAGAGGCCAGCUUAGUCUGCUUAGAUGAUCAUAUGAUAUUUAAGCAUCACAUUUCUCUCUCUGUCUCCACAAUUCAGCUUGAAAGACGUCACUGGAGGUGUCGGUGAAUAUGGAGAUGUGAGGCAGGUGUUUGAGUACUAGUUGUCAAGGAAGGAAAAGAUCAUUUGCCUGAUAAGCCCUGCGUAGGCUUAGGAGGCGUCGUUUAAAUAAUUGGCCUUUGGGGUUAUGUAAAGUCCAAAAUGGAGUUUUAUAAAAUGUGUAGCUAGCAAUCUUGGUCCAUUUGUCAAACAGGUAGAAGUCUUUGAGAAAAAUAUUGAAAUACCGAGACAGCGCAGUUGGAAUACACGUUAGCAAGGAAGAAAGAAGCAACUUCUAUCUUGUUUCUACUUUCUAGAAUAGAAAGAAAGAAAGAAACAAUUUCUUAUCUUGUUUCAAUAAUUCUAGUAUUCUAUCACGACCCUUAUCCCCUUAAUGUCCCAACUUUUCUGAAAGUCGUAUCUGUUUUUGUUUUUUUUAA
Long non-coding RNA from Carya illinoinensis, 967 nucleotides. RefSeq lists it as uncharacterized. The record is from RefSeq and is a predicted model, not a curated record. NCBI's taxonomy places the organism in Eukaryota, Viridiplantae, Streptophyta, Magnoliopsida, Fagales, Juglandaceae. The transcript has 2 exons.